RNAcentral lists this ribosomal RNA (497 nucleotides) under uncultured bacterium. RNAcentral describes it as "partial 16S ribosomal RNA". It matches the Rfam family "Bacterial small subunit ribosomal RNA", at positions 28 to 507 of the family's 1533-position model. The record is from RNAcentral.
GAUGAACGCUGGCGGCGUGCCUAAUACAUGCAAGUCGAGCGAACAGACGAGGAGCUUGCUCCUCUGACGUUAGCGGCGGACGGGUGAGUAACACGUAGGUAACCUACCUAUAAGACUGGGAUAACUUCGGGAAACCGGAGCUAAUACCGGAUAAUAUUUUGAACCGCAUGGUUCGAUAGUGAAAGAUGGUUUUGCUAUCACUUAUAGAUGGACCUGCGCCGUAUUAGCUAGUUGGUAAGGUAACGGCUUACCAAGGCAACGAUACGUAGCCGACCUGAGAGGGUGAUCGGCCACACUGGAACUGAGACACGGUCCAGACUCCUACGGGAGGCAGCAGUAGGGAAUCUUCCGCAAUGGGCGAAAGCCUGACGGAGCAACGCCGCGUGAGUGAUGAAGGUCUUCGGAUCGUAAAACUCUGUUAUUAGGGAAGAACAAACGUGUAAGUAACUGUGCACGUCUUGACGGUACCUAAUCAGAAAGCCACGGCUAACUACGUG